This 253-nucleotide ribosomal RNA is filed under the name uncultured bacterium. RNAcentral's name for it is "partial 16S ribosomal RNA". It matches the Rfam family "Bacterial small subunit ribosomal RNA", at positions 524 to 776 of the family's 1533-position model. The record is from RNAcentral.
UACGGAGGGUGCGAGCGUUAAUCGGAAUUACUGGGCGUAAAGCGCACGCAGGCGGUUUGCUAAGCUAGAUGUGAAAGCCCCGGGCUCAACCUGGGAUGGUCAUUUAGAACUGGCUGACUAGAGUCUUGGAGAGGGGAGUGGAAUUCCAGGUGUAGCGGUGAAAUGCGUAGAUAUCUGGAGGAACAUCAGUGGCGAAGGCGACUCCCUGGCUAAAGACUGACGCUCAUGUGCGAAAGUGUGGGUAGCGAACAGG